Molecule: long non-coding RNA, 665 nt
Organism: Mangifera indica (mango)
Lineage: Eukaryota; Viridiplantae; Streptophyta; Magnoliopsida; Sapindales; Anacardiaceae
Exons: 2
Source: RefSeq, a predicted model, not a curated record
AAAAGGAUAUACAAGCAGAACCCCCAACCCCACAUGGCCAUUCUCCAUUCUUCAACAAGAGACUUCCCCAUUCACUUACCAUCUACCCAAAUGUUAUCUACCGCCACCGCCACCGCCACCGAUAGACUCACUUGUUGGUGCCACCAAUGUGAUAUGAGCGUCACCCUACUCUUCUCCAACUCUACCGUCUCUUCAUCUUCUACUAUUUCACUCCCCUGCCCCCACUGCCACUCCCUCUCUCUCGAAUACAUGGAUUCCCCUCCAAAUCUCAUCUCUGAUUCCCAUUUCGACUUCCUCUUUGCUGAUUUCGAUUGCGAUGAUAGUGGUACUAGUAAUAACGCAUCCAAUUCAGUCACUGAUGCUUGGCAAUCAUCAAUUACAAGUGUGGUAGUAUCAGAUUGUUUGUCAUAAGUGUUGUGUGUUAUUUGUAAAGAUGACUUUUUAAUUGGUUCAAAAGCUGAACAACUCCCCUGCAAACACCUUUACCAUUCUCACUGCAUCCUCCCUUGGCUUUCCCACCAUUCUUCCUGCCCUCUUUGCAGAUUCCAAUUAAUUCCAGGUAAUACAUAAUCAAUCAAGUUUGAAUCUGCGUCAGAUGAUCAAGUGUAAACGAAUCUCUCCCCUCCUGGAAUUUUCUCUGCUCAAAUAAAGAAAAGUUUGUUCAA